This 1055-nucleotide long non-coding RNA is filed under the name Gossypium raimondii (Peruvian cotton). Its description in RNAcentral is "long non-coding RNA (GRAI_LNC001919)". Lineage: Eukaryota; Viridiplantae; Streptophyta; Magnoliopsida; Malvales; Malvaceae. The record is from RNAcentral.
CCCACCUUCCUUUACUUCUCCUUAAGCUACUCAUUUACAUUUUUCUCUCCCCCCUUUAACCUUGCCGUCCAAUACACCUAGACAAACAAAAGUAACUUUUAUUUUAUUCUUUUUCUCUCUCCUAUCUUUUCUCUCCUCAUCCCCUUUUACACUACCUUUAACCACCAUUAUUUUUUAUUUUGGCCUCCACUCCUCCACUCCUCCACCGUUAACCACCAUCAUCCAACCUAAACACCACCACUUCAUCUCUGCCCAUCCUCCUCCCACUCUCUUUUCCACUGCCGGACCUCUUCUACUGCCAUUGUAUCACAGCAUCACCACUGUUGUUAGCCACUGUUUUUUCUCUAUUUUCCAUUUUUCUCUUCAACUCUCUAGUCAUAACCAAAUUUCUAUCCCUCUUUUCUUAAUUUUUCUUAAACUAUUAAUAAAAGCUUAUACUCAUUCUUCUAUUUUGAUAUUGAUUAUUCCUUAACCUCUACUCCUUCAUCAAAUUGAGACUCUGGUAAAUCAUUGAUCUUUCUAACCCAACUGUAUUAACGUAAGUAUUGAUUGGUAAAGCUAUUAUCAAUCCAUUUUUUUUCUUAUAGUAUCCAAUUUUAGGGACUAAUAUUACAUGAUUUUAUUGAAGGACUUAAUUUGGACCAUUCGGAUCCCCUUUACCUAUAGUGAAUCAAUUGGAUUGUCUUGAAGAAAGGUAAUUUGAGUGAAUUCCUUAUUCGAUUCUUAAGAAUAAAUAAAUUGGUUCAAGGUUGAAACUAAUGUACGAUUCCUUGGUAUCAUACCAUUGUUGUUUAACCAGAUCAGGCGAGAUCUGCCUAGUUUUGUUAUCACUGAAGUUUGGAGCAUAGAUCUAGUGUCAAGCCAAAUCGUCAAGUGUGGGUUUAACCAAAUAAAGUUUGAUUAAUAAUUUAUUAAAUGAUUACUUAUUUAUAAAUAUUAUAUAUUAUAACAUACACUGAAAUGUGAUUAAUUAUGAACUAUGAGUAUACAUGGUGAUAGACAAAUUCCUUAAAUGGCUUAUUACCAUGUAAGUAAUUAUGAUCCAUUAAACCCAU